CGUAUGCUCCUCGUGAUACUGCCCGAGUAGUGUAUGCGAAUGAACUCGUUGCUGGUGGUUGCGAUGUGGAAGUAGGACUGUUUCUCGUUUACAAAAAACGUAUCUGGUACCCAUAUAUUUUUUAUGAACUCCGAUCCGACGCUCAGAGUUUCGACCUCUUCCCACUUGUUGAAGGCGAGCCGAGGAUCUUUCCAGAAUUGACGAAAGUAAAAAUCCAGCGUAAAUACCAUUUUCACUUCGGAUAGCGAGCUGAUGCUCAAGACGUACAUGGUCACGCCAACUUCGAC
Molecule: unclassified non-coding RNA, 287 nt
Filed under: Athalia rosae (coleseed sawfly)
Lineage: Eukaryota; Metazoa; Arthropoda; Insecta; Hymenoptera; Athaliidae
Description: misc RNA ENSAEAG00005009619.1
Source: RNAcentral